AUUGAACGCUAGCGGGAUGCUUUACACAUGCAAGUCGAGCGAGGGGGGGGGGGGAGAGUAGUAUAGGAGAACGUGCCCAGUAGCGGGGGAUAACUACGAGAAAGAGUGGAUAAUACCGCAUACUAUGGGGGCGGCAGAUAGGGGAGUAGCGAGGUGGUGGGGUAAAGGCUCACCAAGGCAAAGAUCCGUAGCUGGUGUGAGAUGACGACCAGCCACACUGGGACUGAGACACGGCCCAGACGCCUACGGGAGGCAGCGGUGGGGAAUUUGGGACAAUGGGGGAAACCCUGAUGCAGCCAGCCCGCGUGUAUGAGAAGGCCUUCGGGUUGUAAAGUACUUUUGGCAGAGAGGCGGUAUUUGCAGAAUAAGCACCGGCUAACUACGUGCCAGCAGCCGCGGUAAUUC
This 405-nucleotide ribosomal RNA is filed under the name uncultured bacterium. Its description in RNAcentral is "partial 16S ribosomal RNA". It matches the Rfam family "Bacterial small subunit ribosomal RNA", at positions 29 to 526 of the family's 1533-position model. The record is from RNAcentral.